UGUGUACUGACAUGUGACCUACUGGUUGUGUGUACUGACAUGUUUGUAACUGGUAGAUGCACACAAACUACAUGUUCAUGUUAUUCAAUGUAUGUAAAUUGUAAAGUAUUUUGUCCGUAAUGUCUUUCACGUUAUGGAACCCAGUAAGACUAGCUCUGUGAGGGUAGUCUAUAUACAGUAGGUCUGUGAGGGUAGUCUAUAUACAGUAGCUCUGUGAGGGUAGUCUAUAUACAGUAGGUCUGUGAGGGUAGUCUAUAUACACUAGCUCUGUGAGGGUUGUCUAUAUACACUAGCUCUGUGAGGGUAGUCUAUAUACAGUAGGUCUGUGAGGGUAGUCUAUAUACAGUAGGUCUGUGAGGGUAGUCUAUAUACAGUAGGUCUGUGAGGGUAGUCUAUAUACACUAGCUCUGUGAGGGUUGUCUAUAUACACUAGCUCUGUGAGGGUAGUCUAUAUACAGUAGGUCUGUGAGGGUAGUCUAUAUACAGUAGGUCUGUGAGGGUAGUCUAUAUACAGUAGCUCUGUGAGGGUAGUCUAUAUACAGUAGGUCUGUGAGGGUAGUCUAUAUACAGUAGGUCUGUGAGGGUAGUCUAUAUACAGUAGGUCUGUGAGGGUAGUCUAUACACAUCCAUACACACAGGGCCCUACUGUAGGUACUAUACAGCAUAUUGUUGUCCUAUUGAUCUCCCAUGAACCGUUCCUCUCAUUACUGUAACCACCACCACACACACACCAGCGAUACUUCCACUAGCUCAGCAACCUUCCCCCUCCUCUCACUGCGUCCCAAAUGGCACCCUAUUCUCUAUAGGGCACUACUAGGACUCUGGUCAAAAGUAGUACACUAUAUAGGGAAUCGGGUGCCAUUAGCGACCCACCCUCAGUCUCCACCUGGGCUUAACAACACAAACCCUAAUGGAGCCUAUGGAACCACACAAAACCCCUCCCUUUUCUGUACAGCUUGUCAAUCUCAAUGACAUCACAAUCGGAUUCAAUCAUUUGAUCAAAGAUGUAGUUGGAUCCUGCACCUGAUGGAGUAAUGACUAGCAAGACUGCCAGGAUCUCAGUUUAGCAAAGGAUGAUUGGUCAAAAGACUGCCACCUGAAUUCAACAGCAUAACUAAUUGGUCUGAUUUCUGCCACCCAACCAACCAAAUUAUUAAAUAAAAUCUUC
Molecule: long non-coding RNA, 1168 nt
Organism: Oncorhynchus tshawytscha (Chinook salmon)
Lineage: Eukaryota; Metazoa; Chordata; Actinopteri; Salmoniformes; Salmonidae
Source: Ensembl